This 400-nucleotide ribosomal RNA is filed under the name uncultured bacterium. RNAcentral describes it as "bacterial SSU rRNA". It matches the Rfam family "Bacterial small subunit ribosomal RNA", at positions 28 to 428 of the family's 1533-position model. The record is from RNAcentral.
GACGAACGCUGGCGGCGUGCUUAACACAUGCAAGUCGAGCGGUAAAGGCCCUUUCGGGGGUACGACGAGCGGCGAACGGGUGAGUAACACGUGGGUGACCUGCCCUUACGCUCUGGGAUAAGCCUGGGAAACUGGGUCUAAUACCGGAUAUGACUCCAUGACGCAUGUUGUGGGGUGGAAAGCCUUGUGCGGCUAGGGAUGGGCCCGCGGCCUAUCAGCUUGUUGGUGGGGUGAUGGCCUACCAAGGCGACCGACGGGUAGCCGGCCUGAGAGGGCGACCGGCCACACUGGGACUGAGACACGGCCCAGACUCCUACGGGAGGCAGCAGUGGGGAAUCUUGCGCAAUGGGCGAAAGCCUGACGCAGCGACGCCGCGUGGGGAUGACGGCCUCGGUUGUAA